AACGAACGCUGGCGGCAGGCCUAACACAUGCAAGUCGAACGAGAAGCCACCUUCGGGUGGUGGACAGUGGCAGACGGGUGAGUAACGCGUGGGAACGUGCCUUUCGGUUCGGGAUAACCCAGGGAAACUUGGGCUAAUACCGGAUACGCCCUUCGGGGGAAAGAUUCAUUGCCGAAAGAUCGGCCCGCGUCGGAUUAGCUAGUUGGUGGGGUAAAAGCCUACCAAGGCGACGAUGCGUAGCCGACCUGAGAGGGUGAUCGGGCCACAAUGGGAACUCGAGACACGGUCCAUACUCCUACGGGAGGCAG
Molecule: ribosomal RNA, 308 nt
Filed under: uncultured bacterium
Lineage: Bacteria
Description: bacterial SSU rRNA
Rfam family: Bacterial small subunit ribosomal RNA
Source: RNAcentral